AUUGAACGCUGGCGGCAGGCCUAACACAUGCAAGUCGAGCGGAUGAAGGGAGCUUGCUCCUGGAUUCAGCGGCGGACGGGUGGGUAAUGCCUAGGAAUCUGCCUGGUAGUGGGGGAUAACGUCCGGAAACGGGCGCUAAUACCGCAUACGUCCUGAGGGAGAAAGUGGGGGAUCUUCGGACCUCACGCUAUCAGAUGAGCCUAGGUCGGAUUAGCUAGUUGGUGGGGUAAGGGCCUACCAAGGCGACGAUCCGUAACUGGUCUGAGAGGAUGAUCAGUCACCCUGGAACUGGGACACGGUCCAGACUCCUACGGGAGGCAGCAGUGGGGAAUAUUGGACAAUGGGCGAAAGCCUGAUCCAGCCAUGCCGCGUGUGUGAAGAAGGUCUUCGGAUUGUAAAGCACUUUAAGUUGGGAGGAAGGGCAGUAAGUUAAUACCUUGCUGUUUUGACGUUACCAACAGAAUAAGCACCGGCUAACUUCGUG
RNAcentral lists this ribosomal RNA (484 nucleotides) under uncultured bacterium. RNAcentral describes it as "partial 16S ribosomal RNA". It matches the Rfam family "Bacterial small subunit ribosomal RNA", at positions 30 to 507 of the family's 1533-position model. The record is from RNAcentral.